Molecule: non-coding RNA, 116 nt
Organism: Peptoniphilus asaccharolyticus DSM 20463
Lineage: Bacteria; Bacillati; Bacillota; Tissierellia; Tissierellales; Peptoniphilaceae
Source: Rfam
UCCGGUAUCAAUAGUAUGAAGGACACACCUGUACCCAUACCGAACACAGAAGUUAAGCUUUAAUACGCCGAUGGUACUUGGCUGGAGACGGCCUGGGAGAGUAGGUCUUGCCGGAU